GACGAACGCUGGCGGCGUGCUUAACACAUGCAAGUCGAACGAAGAGCGAUGGAAGCUUGCUUCUAUCACUCUUAGUGGCGAACGGGUGAGUAACGCGUAAUCAACCUGCCCUUCAGAGGGGGACAACAGUUGGAAACGACUGCUAAUACCGCAUACGAUCUAACCUCGGCAUCGAGGAAAGAUGAAAGGUGGCCUCUAUGUAUAAGCUAUCACUGCAGGAGGGGAUUGCGUCUGAUUAGCUAGUUGGAGGGGUAACGGCCCACCAAGGCGAUGAUCAGUAGCCGGUCUGAGAGGAUGAACGGCCACAUUGGGACUGAGACACGGCCCAGACUCCUACGGGAGGCAGCAGUGGGGAAUCUUCCGCAAUGGACGAAAGUCUGACGGAGCAACGCCGCGUGAGUGAUGACGGCCUUCGGGUUGUAAAGCUCUGUUAAUCGGGACGAAAGGCCUUCUUGCGAAUAGUUAGGAGGAUUGACGGUACCGGAAUAGAAAGCCACGGCUAACUACGUG
Molecule: ribosomal RNA, 510 nt
Filed under: uncultured bacterium
Lineage: Bacteria
Description: partial 16S ribosomal RNA
Rfam family: Bacterial small subunit ribosomal RNA
Source: RNAcentral